Mastomys coucha (southern multimammate mouse) is the source of this 872-nucleotide long non-coding RNA. RefSeq lists it as uncharacterized. The record is from RefSeq and is a predicted model, not a curated record. The transcript has 2 exons. Lineage: Eukaryota; Metazoa; Chordata; Mammalia; Rodentia; Muridae.
AGGGCUCUAGGAUGACCUACAUAUGACUGACUGCACUGGCAUGCCUCACCCAGCCAGUCAUAGUAGGGAGGCAACCCUCUAGGAGCGGAAGAGUUCAAAGAAUGUAGACGGGUUGAGGGAGAUGGCUCAGCAGGUAAAAGACACUUGCUACCAAGUUUGAAGAUCCGAAUUGGAUCAGGGGACCCGCAUGGUAGGAGGGGACUGACUCCAGAAAGCUGUCCUCUGCGUGGGCGCACACACGUGGAAAAAAAGGAAAUAGCUAAGUGACAGAGGACCGCAGAGGUAAACCCGGGCGGUGAGAGAGGAUUCGAAAAACUGCAAGGGCUCCCAGGGGAGCAGUGCCCGCUCAAGCUGCACCCUCAGGCUCGGCUUCAUCAUGGGGGUGAUGAGGAACCAUAAAGGAGUUCUGGGCGCAUAAGGGAAGCCUGCAAUGGGCCCCAGCUGGCAGGAAGAGCCAGGCGAGGAGCAAAGGUGGCCGGCGAAUGUCAGCAGACAGAUGCACCACACAUGAACCAGCAGCAGUGGCACUACCCAGCAGAAACACCCAGGUCUCCACCAAAGCUGCACAAGUCAGCAGGAGCAACCAGGACCAGCAGGGACACCAGAAGUUCUCUGUCAUGCCUCUUUCAAAGAAGUGAAGAUUGGCAGAGAGGAAGACUCAAAGACUCAAGACCAAGAAGUGUUACAAAGCAUGCCUGCAGUCCCUGUCCUUUGAGUCCUAUUUAUACUUCCUCCAAACAUUAUGUGUCCUUCCACAUGUGCCUCAGCUAAACAGUACAUGAGUCUGUCCUUGCAAUCAUGUCAGUCUGUAUGACAUCACUCUGCCAAUCCACCCAAAUCCUCAGAAACAGCAAGAAACUACCAGAACACCA